UGGGGAAUUUUGCACAAUGGGCGCAAGCCUGAUGCAGCGACGCCGCGUGAGGGAUGACGGCCUUCGGGUUGUAAACCUCUUUCGACAGGGACAAAGGGUGACUGACGGUACCUGUAGAAGAAGCACCGGCUAACUACGUGCCAGCAGCCGCGGUAAUACGUAGGGUGCGAGCGUUGUCCGGAAUUAUUGGGCGUAAAGAGCUCGUAGGCGGUUUGUCGCGUCGGCUGUGAAAACUGGAGGCUUAACCUUCAGCUUGCAGUCGAUACGGGCAGACUUGAGUUCGGUAGGGGAGACUGGAAUUCCUGGUGUAGCGGUGAAAUGCGCAGAUAUCAGGAGGAACACCGGUGGCGAAGGCGGGUCUCUGGGCCGAUACUGACGCUGAGGAGCGAAAGCGUGGGGAGCGAAC
This 406-nucleotide ribosomal RNA is filed under the name uncultured bacterium. Its description in RNAcentral is "bacterial SSU rRNA". It matches the Rfam family "Bacterial small subunit ribosomal RNA", at positions 355 to 773 of the family's 1533-position model. The record is from RNAcentral.